Molecule: ribosomal RNA, 305 nt
Filed under: uncultured bacterium
Lineage: Bacteria
Description: bacterial SSU rRNA
Rfam family: Bacterial small subunit ribosomal RNA
Source: RNAcentral
GCCUACGGGGGGCAGCAGUAGGGAAUCUUCCACAAUGGGCGAAAGCCUGAUGGAGCAACGCCGCGUGGGUGAAGAAGGUCUUCGGAUCGUAAAACCCUGUUGUUAGAGAAGAAAGUGCGUGAGAGUAACUGUUCACGUUUCGACGGUAUCUAGCCAGAAAGCCACGGCUAACUACGUGCCAGCAGCCGCGGUAAUACGUAGGUGGCAAGCGUUAUCCGGAUUUAUUGGGCGUAAAGGGAACGCAGGCGGUCUUUUAAGUCUGAUGUGAAAGCCUUCGGCUUAACCGGAGUAGUGCAUUGGAAACU